This 158-nucleotide ribosomal RNA is filed under the name Malassezia pachydermatis. RNAcentral's name for it is "5.8S ribosomal RNA". It matches the Rfam family "5.8S ribosomal RNA". Rfam says of the family: 5.8S ribosomal RNA (5.8S rRNA) is a component of the large subunit of the eukaryotic ribosome. Lineage: Eukaryota; Fungi; Basidiomycota; Malasseziomycetes; Malasseziales; Malasseziaceae. The record is from RNAcentral.
ACAACUUUCGACAACGGAUCUCUUGGUUCUCCCAUCGAUAAGAACGCAGCGAAACGCGAUAGGUAAUGUGAAUUGCAGAAUUCCGUGAAUCAUCGAAUCUUUGAACGCACCUUGCGCUCCAUGGUAUUCCGUGGAGCAUGCCUGUUUGAGUGCCGCGA